RNAcentral lists this ribosomal RNA (1263 nucleotides) under metagenome. RNAcentral's name for it is "SSU rRNA". It matches the Rfam family "Eukaryotic small subunit ribosomal RNA", at positions 494 to 1768 of the family's 1831-position model. The record is from RNAcentral.
UUUCGGGUCUCGUAAUUGGAAUGAGUACAAUUUAAAUCCCUUAACGAGGAACAAUUGGAGGGCAAGUCUGGUGCCAGCAGCCGCGGUAAUUCCAGCUCCAAUAGCGUAUAUUAAAGUUGUUGCAGUUAAAAAGCUCGUAGUUGAAUUUCGGGAUUUGCGCAUCGGUCGUGCCUCACGGGGUAUGAACUGGUGCAGUCAAUUUCUCACCUUCUGGAGAACCGCGAUGUCCUUAAUUGGAUGCCGCGGGGAACCAGGACCUUUACUUUGAAAAAAUUAGAGUGUUUAAAGCAGGCAUUUUUGCUUGAAUACAUUAGCAUGGAAUAAUAAAAUAGGACGGCAUGGUUCUAUUUUGUUGGUUUCUAGGACCACCGUAAUGAUUAAUAGGGAUAGUUGGGGGCAUUAGUAUUCAAUUGUCAGAGGUGAAAUUCUUGUAUUUAUUGAAGACUAACUACUGCGAAAGCAUUUGCCAAGGAUGUUUUCAUUAAUCAAGAACGAAAGUUAGGGGAUCGAAGACGAUCAGAUACCGUCGUAGUCUUAACCAUAAACUAUGCCGACUAGGAAUCAGACGAUGUUAAUUUUUUAAUGACUCGUUUGGCACCUUACGGGAAACCAAAGUGUUUGGGUUCCGGGGGGAGUAUGGUCGCAAGGCUGAAAUUUAAAGGAAUUGACGGAAGGGCACCACCAGGGGUGGAGCCUGCGGCUUAAUUUGACCCAACACGGGAAAACUUACCUGGUCCAGACAUAGUAAGGAUUGACAGAUUGAGAGCUCUUUCUUGAUUCUAUGGGUGGUGGUGCAUGGCCGUUCUUAGUUGGUGGAGUGAUUUGUCUGGUUAAUUCCGUUAACAAACGAGACCUUAACCUGCUAAAUAGUUAAACCUGACUUUUUGUCAGGUUGACAACUUCUUAGAGGGACUAUCGGUGUUUAACCGAUGGAAGUUUGAGGCAAUAACAGGUCUGUGAUGCCCUUAGAUGUUCUGGGCCGCACGCGCGCUACACUGAUAAAGUCAACAAGUAACUAACCUUUGCCGGAAGGCAUGGGUAAUCCUUUGAAACUUUAUCGUGCUGGGGAUAGAGCAUUGCAAUUAUCGCUCUUCAACGAGGAAUCCCUAGUAAGCGUUAGUCAUCAGCUUGCGUUGAUUACGUCCCUGCCCUUUGUACACACCGCCCGUCGCUACUACCGAUUGAAUGGCUUAGUGAGGUCUUCGGAUCGGCGGUUGAUGAGUAGCAAUAUUCGCCGGUUGCUGAGAAGUUGAUCAAACUUGG